GCUAUUGGAUCUGAUUAGCCAUGCGAGUUGAAAGGGUUUAGACCCUUAGCGGACGGCUCAGUAACACGUGGAGAACCUGCCCUCAGGUGGGGGAUAAUCCCGGGAAACUGGGAAUAAUACCCCAUAGGUCUCGGCUGCUGGAAUGCUUCGAGGCCGAAAGCUACGGCGCCUGAGGAUGGCUCUGCGGCCUAUCAGGUAGUAGUGAGGGUAACGUCCUCACUAGCCGAUGACGGGUACGGGCGUUGAAAGACGGAGCCCGGAGAUGGACUCUGAGACACGAGUCCAGGCCCUACGGGGCGCAGCAGGCGCGAAACCUUCGCAAUGCUCGAAAGAGUGACGAGGGGAUUCCAAGUGCCUACGCUCAGCGUAGGCUGUUCAGAUGCCUAAAAAGCAUCUGGAGGAAGGACUGGGUAAGACGGGUGCCAGCCGCCGCGGUAAUACCCGCAGUCCGAGUGGUAGUCGAUUUUAUUGGGCCUAAAGCGUCCGUAGCCGGUCUGGAAAAUGCCUGGGUAAAUCGUCUGGCUCAACCAAACGAAUUCCGGGUAGACUACCAGACUUGGGACCGGUUGAGGGAGAGGGUACUUCAGGGGUAGGAGUGAAAUCCUGUAAUCCCUGAAGGACCACCGGUGGCRAAGGCGCUCUC
RNAcentral lists this ribosomal RNA (643 nucleotides) under uncultured archaeon. RNAcentral's name for it is "bacterial SSU rRNA". It matches the Rfam family "Archaeal small subunit ribosomal RNA", at positions 29 to 679 of the family's 1478-position model. The record is from RNAcentral.